This is a non-coding RNA of Pipistrellus kuhlii (Kuhl's pipistrelle), 750 nucleotides long. NCBI's taxonomy places the organism in Eukaryota, Metazoa, Chordata, Mammalia, Chiroptera, Vespertilionidae. The record is from the annotation of a RefSeq genome assembly.
GGAAGCCUUGUCAAGGCGAGGGGCUUGGCCAACUUAGCCUCCGAAGGCUCAGUGACCUCAGCUCUUGUUUUACCUGCUCCGGACCUGCAGCCCUUGCACUGCUCAGCCAUGGUCCUGCUACUCAUCCCUGUGCUUGAGCUGAUUUUUGCCCUGAGAGGAACCGGAGCACAGUCAGCCAGCCAGCCUGAUGGCCACGUCCCUGUCUCUGAAGGAGCCCCACUAGAGCUGAGAUGCAAAUAUUCAAUUUCUGGUACACCUUACCUCUUCUGGUACCGGCAAUACCCCAACCAAGGGCUCCAGUUUCUUCUCAAGUACAUUUCAGGGGACCCCCUGGUUAAAGGCAUAGACGGUUUUGAAGCUGAAUUUAGGAAGAAUGAAACCUCCUUCAACCUGAAGAAACGCUCAGCCCACUGGAGCGACUCUGCUGUGUACUUCUGUGCUGUGAGUGACACAGUGACUGAGACUGCAGGGGGAGCUGAGCACAAACCUCCGGAGACACUCGGACUUUCUGUGACUCAACAACUCAGCCUUGCACUGCCUGGGGAGUUCCCAAGAAGGUUUUUCUUUUUUUGUCCUGUGAAGCCAAAAGGGAAGAGUAGGUGGAGUUUGGGGAGUGCUUCAACAUCAAUGCUGUGCUACAUUCAGAUCACAUUUGAACCAGAUGGAGGUCUUCUAAUGAAUUUCUCCAGGAGGGACAUACCCUCCCCCAACUUCCCAUCCUACUCCCACACUGAUAAAAGUACAUCAUAA